ACCGGCAAACGGGUGCGGAACACGUACGCAACCUUCCUUUAACUGGAGAAUAGCCCGGGGAAACCCGGAUUAAUACUCCGUAACAUUAUGAAGUGGCAUCACUUUAUAAUUAUAGCUCCGGCGGUUAAAGAUGGGCGUGCGUCUGAUUAGGUAGUUGGCGGGGUAACGGCCCACCAAGCCUACAAUCAGUAACUGGUGUGAGAGCACGACCAGUCACACGGGCACUGAAACACGGGCCCGACUCCUACGGGAGGCAGCAGUAAGGAAUAUUGGUCAAUGGACGCAAGUCUGAACCAACCAUGCCGCGUGGAGGAUGAAGGUCCUCUGGAUUGUAAACUUCUUUUAUUUGGGAAAAAACCCACCAUUUCUAUUGUGGUUGACGGUACCAGAUGAAUAAGCACCGGCUAACUCCGUGCCAGCAUCCGCGGUAAUACGGAGGGUGCAAGCGUUAUGCGGAUUCACUGGGUUUAAAGGGGGCCUAGGCGGGCAGGUAAGUCCGUGGUGAAAUCUCCUAGCUUAAGUUGGAAACUGCCGUGAA
This 538-nucleotide ribosomal RNA is filed under the name uncultured bacterium. Its description in RNAcentral is "bacterial SSU rRNA". It matches the Rfam family "Bacterial small subunit ribosomal RNA", at positions 94 to 630 of the family's 1533-position model. The record is from RNAcentral.